AUUUUAAUUUCACACUUGGGC
RNAcentral lists this microRNA (21 nucleotides) under Picea abies (Norway spruce). RNAcentral's name for it is "pab-miR11445c". The record is from miRBase by way of RNAcentral. Lineage: Eukaryota; Viridiplantae; Streptophyta; Pinopsida; Pinales; Pinaceae.